CAGUCGAACGGAGCUUAGAGAGCUUGCUUUUUAAGCUUAGUGGCGAACGGGUGAGUAACGCGUGAGUAACCUGCCCUAGAGUGGGGGACAACAGUUGGAAACGACUGCUAAUACCGCAUAAGCCCACGGUGCCGCAUGGCACUGAGGGAAAAGGAUUUAUUCGCUUUAGGAUGGACUCGCGUCCAAUUAGCUAGUUGGUGAGGUAACGGCCCACCAAGGCGACGAUUGGUAGCCGGACUGAGAGGUUGAACGGCCACAUUGGGACUGAGACACGGCCCAGACUCCUACGGGAGGCAGCAGUGGGGGAUAUUGCACAAUGGGGGAAACCCUGAUGCAGCGACGCCGCGUGGAGGAAGAAGGUUUUCGGAUUGUAAACUCCUGUCGUUAGGGACGAUAAUGACGGUACCUAACAAGAAAGCACCGGCUAACUACGUGCCAGCAGCCGCGGUAAAACGUAGGGUGCAAGCGUUGUCCGGAAUUACUGGGUGUAAAGGGAGCGCAGGCGGGAAGACAAGUUGGAAGUGAAAACCAUGGGCUCAACCCAUGAAUUGCUUUCAAAACUGUUUUUCUUGAGUAGUGCAGAGGUAGAUGGAAUUCCCGGUGUAGCGGUGGAAUGCGUAGAUAUCGGGAGGAACACCAGUGGCGAAGGCGGUCUACUGGGCACCAACUGACGCUGAGGCUCGAAAGCAUGGGUAGCAAACAGGAUUAGAUACCCUGGUAGUCCAUGCCGUANACGAUGAUUACUAGGUGUUGGGGNAUUGACCCCCUCAGUGCCGCAGUUAACACAAUAAGUAAUCCACCUGGGGAGUACGACCGCAAGGUUGAAACU
This 829-nucleotide ribosomal RNA is filed under the name uncultured bacterium. Its description in RNAcentral is "bacterial SSU rRNA". It matches the Rfam family "Bacterial small subunit ribosomal RNA", at positions 59 to 901 of the family's 1533-position model. The record is from RNAcentral.